GAUGAACGCUGGCGGCGUGCCUAAUACAUGCAAGUCGAGCGAACGGACGAGAAGCUUGCUUCUCUGAUGUUAGCGGCGGAAGGGUGAGUAACACGUGGAUAACCUACUUAUAAGACUGGGAUAACUUCGGGAAACCGGAGCUCAUACCCGAUAAUAUUUUGAACCGCAUGGUUCAAAAGUGAAAGACGGUCUUGCUGUCACUUAUAGAUGGAUCCGCGCUGCAUUAGCUAGUUGGUAAGGUAACGGCUUACCAAGGCAACGAUGCAUAGCCGACCUGAGAGAGUGAUCGACAGAACGGGAGCUAAGUGGGACUCCCGAUUCCAACGCGAGGCCGCAGUAGGGAAGCGGCAGAAGUGGGCGAAAGCGUGACGAAGCAACACAGCGUGGGGUGAGAGAGGGCUCGGCUCGUAAACUUGUGUUAUUAGCGAAGAAAGUAUGUGUAAGUAAGUGGGCGAAGCUUGACGGUACCAUACCAAAACGCCGUGCCUAACUACGUG
This 497-nucleotide ribosomal RNA is filed under the name uncultured bacterium. RNAcentral describes it as "partial 16S ribosomal RNA". It matches the Rfam family "Bacterial small subunit ribosomal RNA", at positions 28 to 507 of the family's 1533-position model. The record is from RNAcentral.